AACGAACGCUGGCGGCGUGCCCAACACAUGCAAGUCGUGCGAGAAAGUUCCUUCGGGAGCGAGUAAAGCGGCGCACGGGUGAGUAACACGUAGGUAACCUGCCCCCCAGUCUGGAACAACUAGAGGAAACCCUAGCUAAUGCCGGAUGAGACCACGAUCCCUUCGGGGGUUGCGGCCAAAGAUGGCCUCUACUUGUAAGCUAUCGCUGAGGGAUGGGCCUGCGGGCCAUUAGCUUGUUGGUGAGGUAACGGCUCACCAAGGCUGUGAUGGCUAGCUGGUCUGAGAGGAUGACCAGCCACACUGGGACUGAGACACGGCCCAGACUCCUACGGGAGGCAGCAGUGGGGAAUAUUGCGCAAUGGGCGAAAGCCUGACGCAGCGACGCCGCGUGGGUGAUGAAGGCC
Molecule: ribosomal RNA, 404 nt
Filed under: uncultured bacterium
Lineage: Bacteria
Description: bacterial SSU rRNA
Rfam family: Bacterial small subunit ribosomal RNA
Source: RNAcentral